CCCCUCUCAGGAUCGCACCUGGAGGGUUUCCAGUCCUCUACCAGACUCGACUAUGUGAGGGAGAGUCAAGCAGAGGCCUGUCCAUUCCAUUCCAUUCCUAGCUUGGGCAGUGGCUAGCGAGUGGAAGGCAAUCUGCUAUAAAU
This is a non-coding RNA of Ornithorhynchus anatinus (platypus), 143 nucleotides long. NCBI's taxonomy places the organism in Eukaryota, Metazoa, Chordata, Mammalia, Monotremata, Ornithorhynchidae. The record is from Rfam.